This 616-nucleotide long non-coding RNA is filed under the name Bubo bubo (Eurasian eagle-owl). RNAcentral's name for it is "lncRNA (ENSBOBG00000007100.1)". The record is from RNAcentral. Lineage: Eukaryota; Metazoa; Chordata; Aves; Strigiformes; Strigidae.
GGAAAGUCUCUGGGCUGUGGGAAAAAUUGGGAAGGGGGUGGGAAGGGACAUGUGGAUGGGUUUUGUACCAACCUGGGUGAGGAGGAGACGCAGACUCUGAAAACUGGAUGCUGCUGCUGCUGCCCCAAGAAACCUGACCAAAUAGAAGGGGAGGAAUUGUAGACACUGUAACACAGGGGAGCUUUUUUCUGCAUGCUGAGAUGCGUAACAAGGCAGAGCCGUACCACUGGCGACAGAAGGUUUCAGGUUCGGCUUUUUUCAGCGCACGGAGGCAGCUUAUCCUGCCAGCCCUAACCUCUGGCCUCUCCAGGACGACGUGUACCUUCUGCAGAUCACAAAGGAUGGGGCUAGGAGCUGCCGGGCUGGGAGCUGCUGGAAGCACCAUACGUCCGGUCCCUUCAUUUCCUGCCGGGUCUAACUGGACAAGAGAAAGUCUCCAGGGGUGUCCUAAUACCAAGAUCCAUCUGGUGCUGCUGUUGAAUUUAUUUAAAUUCUUAUCAUACUUGCCACUCUUAGGACCUGAAAAUAAAUGUGGGAAGCACUUCAUCUGGCAGAUGAAGACCAGGAAUAAAACAAUGGAAAUAUGUGGGCAGUUAUUCAGAGGGCUAAACAAAAC